Molecule: ribosomal RNA, 498 nt
Filed under: uncultured bacterium
Lineage: Bacteria
Description: bacterial SSU rRNA
Rfam family: Bacterial small subunit ribosomal RNA
Source: RNAcentral
AAUGAACGCUGGCGGCGUGCCUAACACAUGCAAGUCGUGCGCGAAAGGGGCUUCGGCCCCGAGUAGAGCGGCAGACGGGUGAGUAACACGUGGGUAACCUGCCCAGAAGUGGGGGAUAACCUGGGGAAACUCGGGCUAAUACCGCAUACGUUCGCGGGGUUCUGCUCCGCGAGGAAAGCCGGCCUAUGCUUGCAAGCUGGCGCUUUUGGAGGGGCCCGCGGCUGAUUAGCUUGUUGGUGGGGUAACGGCCUACCAAGGCGACGAUGGUUAGCUGGUCUGAGAGGAUGAUCAGCCACACUGGAACUGAGACACGGUCCAGACUCCUACGGGAGGCAGCAGUGAGGAAUAUUGCGCAAUGGGGGCAACCCUGACGCAGCAACGCCGCGUGAGUGAGGAAGGUUUUCGGACUGUAAAGCUCUGUCGAGCGGGAAGAAGUGUACCAUGGCUAAUAUCCAUGAUAUUUGACGGUACCGCUAGAGGAAGCACCGGCUAACUCCG